CUCUUUACUUCUUUUCUCUCACAAUCUUCUUCAGUGCUCUCUUCUCUCUCUUCCUCUGAAUUGUGCUGGGUCAUGUGACUGCAAGAUGUCACAGAGGACACAGUCUUUUCUUCACUCUUCUCUUUAUUUUUCUUUUCAGAAUACUCACUUUUUCUUUUUUCUUUUGUCUAUCUCAUCUGUUCUUUCUCUGCUGUUAGAAGCAUAGACAGUUCUCAGAUCAACUGAGAGAGUUAUCCCUCUUCAUUCACUGUAAAGUCUUUCAGACACAGCAGUGUGACGGGUUAGCAUCUGUUAGUAAUUAACUUACGCAAUCAACUCCCCUCCUGCACCCGCUUGUUCCUGGCUGUUGUGACCUUGCAUAACCCUCGAUGUUCUUCCGCUCUGUGCUCUGUGCUCGCAUAGUCUCUAACAAUUCUUCUGCAUAGCUUCUUAUGUUCCCCUGCUCUGUGUUUCAUGCUUGUGUAGUCUCUAACAAUUCUUCUGUGUAGCUUCUUAUGUUCUCCUGCUCUGUGUUUCAUGCUUGUGUAGUCUCUAAUGAUUCUUCUGUGUAGCUCUCAAUGAUUCCCCUGCCCCACAUUCCAUGCUUGUGUAGCUUCUAACAAUUCUUAUGUGUACCCCUUAAUGUUCUUCUGCUUCAUGCUCCACUGUGGAGCAGCUUCUGAUAUUCUUCUGCUCUGAACUUUCUUCUAUAAGAACCCUCUUUGUACAACCUUUUCUUCUGAUUUCUUUUCUCUUUCUUUCCUUAAUCAAUUUGUAAUCUGUAAUUAGGAUAGUACCAAAUUGUUAAUCAAAGUACACCCA
RNAcentral lists this small RNA (801 nucleotides) under Histoplasma ohiense. RNAcentral's name for it is "hypothetical lncRNA". The record is from RNAcentral. Lineage: Eukaryota; Fungi; Ascomycota; Eurotiomycetes; Onygenales; Ajellomycetaceae.